GGCGAACGCUGGCGGCGCGCUUAACACAUGCAAGUCGAGCGAGAACCAGUCCUGGACGUGGGACGAGCGGCGAACGGGUGAGUAACACGUGGGUAAUCUGCCCUCGAUUCUGGGAUAGCCCGGGGAAACCCGGAGUUAAUACCGGAUAGCCUCUCGAGCUUUCGAGCUUGUGAGAAAAGGUAGCUUCGGCCUCCGAUCGAGGAUGAGCCCGCGGCGGAUUAGCUUGUUGGUGGGGUAANGGCCUACCAAGGCGACGAUCCGUAGCUGGUCUGAGAGGACGAUCAGCCACACUGGGACUGAGACACGGCCCAGACUCCUACGGGAGGCAGCAGUGGGGAAUCUUGCGCAAUGGGCGAAAGCCUGACGCAGCGACGCCGCGUGGGGGAA
This 387-nucleotide ribosomal RNA is filed under the name uncultured bacterium. Its description in RNAcentral is "bacterial SSU rRNA". It matches the Rfam family "Bacterial small subunit ribosomal RNA", at positions 28 to 409 of the family's 1533-position model. The record is from RNAcentral.